This 424-nucleotide ribosomal RNA is filed under the name uncultured prokaryote. RNAcentral's name for it is "bacterial SSU rRNA". It matches the Rfam family "Bacterial small subunit ribosomal RNA", at positions 355 to 796 of the family's 1533-position model. The record is from RNAcentral.
UAGGGAAUCUUGGACAAUGGGCGAAAGCCUGAUCCAGCCAUGCCGCGUGAAUGACGAAGGCCUUAGGGUUGUAAAAUUCUUUCACCAGGGAAGAUAAUGACGGUACCUGGAGAAGAAGCCCCGGCUAACUCCGUGCCAGCAGCCGCGGUAAUACGGAGGGGGCUAGCGUUGUUCGGAAUUACUGGGCGUAAAGCGGGUGUAGGCGGACCGGUCAGUCAGAGGUGAAAGCCCAGGGCUCAACCUUGGAAUAGCCUUUGAUACUGCCGGUCUUGAGUCUGGGAGAGGUGAGCGGAAUUCCGAGUGUAGAGGUGAAAUUCGUAGAUAUUCGGAGGAACACCAGAGGCGAAGGCGGCUCACUGGACCAGUACUGACGCUGAGAUCCGAAAGCGUGGGGAGCAAACAGGAUUAGAUACCCCCGUAGUCC